This 506-nucleotide ribosomal RNA is filed under the name uncultured Glomeromycotina. RNAcentral describes it as "partial small subunit ribosomal RNA". It matches the Rfam family "Eukaryotic small subunit ribosomal RNA", at positions 591 to 1092 of the family's 1831-position model. Lineage: Eukaryota; Fungi; Glomeromycota. The record is from RNAcentral.
CCAAUAGCGUAUAUUAAAGUUGUUGCAGUUAAAAAGCUCGUAGUUGAAUUUCGGGAUUGACACAUCGGUCGUGCCUUAAGGGGUAUGAACUGGUGUAGUCAAUUUCUCACCUUCUGGAGAACCGCGAUGCCCUUAAUUGGGUGUCACGGGGAACCAGGACCUUUACUUUGAAAAAAUUAGAGUGUUUAAAGCAGGCAUUUUGCUUGAAUACAUUAGAAUGGAAUAAUAAAAUAGGAGGGCAUGAUUCUAUUUUGUUGGUUUCUAGGAUCACCGUAAUGAUUAAUAGGGAUAGUUGGGGGCAUUAGUAUUCAAUUGUCAGAGGUGAAAUUCUUGGAUUUAUUGAAGACUAACUACUGCGAAAGCAUUUGCCAAGGAUGUUUUCAUUAAUCAAGAACGAAAGUUAGGGGAUCGAAGACGAUCAGAUACCGUCGUAGUCUUAACCAUAAACUAUGCCGACUAGGAAUCAGACGAUGUUAAUUUUUUAAUGACUCGUUUGGCACCUUACG